GUAACACGUGAGCAACCUGCCCUAGGCUUUGGGAUAACCCUCGGAAACGGGGGCUAAUACCGAAUAUGACCUCGCAUCGCAUGGUGUGUGGUGGAAAGUUUUUCGGCCUGGGAUGGGCUCGCGGCCUAUCAGCUUGUUGGUGGGGUGAUGGCCUACCAAGGCGACGACGGGUAGCCGGCCUGAGAGGGCGACCGGCCACACUGGGACUGAGACACGGCCCAGACUCCUACGGGAGGCAGCAGUGGGGAAUAUUGCACAAUGGGCGGAAGCCUGAUGCAGCGACGCCGCGUGAGGGAUGACGGCCUUCGGGUUGUAAACCUCUUUCAGCAGGGACGAAGCGUAAGUGACGGUACCUGCAGAAGAAGCGCCGGCCAACUACGUGCCAGCAGCCGCGGUAAGACGUAGGGCGCGAGCGUUGUCCGGAUUUAUUGGGCGUAAAGAGCUCGUAGGCGGCUUGUCGCGUCGACCGUGAAAACCUG
RNAcentral lists this ribosomal RNA (479 nucleotides) under Micromonospora sp. Its description in RNAcentral is "bacterial SSU rRNA". It matches the Rfam family "Bacterial small subunit ribosomal RNA", at positions 110 to 604 of the family's 1533-position model. Lineage: Bacteria; Bacillati; Actinomycetota; Actinomycetes; Micromonosporales; Micromonosporaceae. The record is from RNAcentral.